CGGGUUGGGCUUUUCUUCAGCCAAAAUUAUCAAUUACGGUACAUCUGCCGGACAUUGUGUUUUAGGCAUUUUGUCAGCAAGAGAAAUGUCGUUUUUAUCCUUACAAACAUCUGCAUCAAAAUUGAUUUUCUCUCUCUCGCUUGCAUGAAGCCAACUCUUUUUGCGAUUUUCAGAUCUCUCCACUGUGAUUGCUCAGAUUUCUCUUCAUUGUUUGUGACGAUGAGGAAACGACACUGCGAACGAGUUGGUGGUGACGAUGAUGAGAUUCGUUGGCGAUGAGGAGUCGACACUGCAAAUGAGAUGGUGGUGAAGAAAAUGAGAUCCGGUGACAACGACGGUGACAACGACGGUUUGAGCGUAGGAGAACGACAAAAUUCAGACCAAAAGAUUAAAGCUUUAAAACCAAUCUCUCUCUCUCUCCGUGGGUUUUGCUUUGUCAAGGGAGAUUAAAAACUCAAACUUUUUAUGAAUCUGUAAAAGUAAUUUUCAAAUUUAGUUUUGAUUCCAUCAAUCUCUAUUAUUGGAGCACUUGGGUUUACUAAACACUAUCCCCAUAGGGUUUAGUUUCCUUUAUUCAAGACUUGAUUAAUUGAAUUCAUUGGGUUAAUCGGAAGAUAUCGUAUUAGUGACGAAGACAUAUCGUGAGUCGGAGAAUCUAAAAGAGACGACAUUGAUGGAUUUGAAGGAGAAAGAGACGAAGACAGAGCGAACACGUCGGUGAAAAGCAAUGGUUGUGGUCGGAAAAGAGAGACGGUGAGAAGCAAUGGUUGUUCUUCAGACCUCAAAGAUGGUAUUGGUGGUGAAGAGAAACAAGGAAGGAGACAAAGAGAAAAUAGUCAUUACCCCAAACCCAUAAAUACCUAUAAACGUAAGUAUGAAUAAUGGUUCCUUUUUUUAAGUGUUUCUCUUUAGUUAUGAAAAAAAUGAGAUCUUUGUAGAUAGAGAGUACUCCAUCUCUGAUAAUUCCACGGUUUGGUUUCAGUAUCUUGUAAAAUAAAUUAGCAAAUGAUUUACUUUUGACUAGGA
Molecule: long non-coding RNA, 1026 nt
Filed under: Arabidopsis lyrata
Lineage: Eukaryota; Viridiplantae; Streptophyta; Magnoliopsida; Brassicales; Brassicaceae
Description: long non-coding RNA (ALYR_LNC000060)
Source: RNAcentral